This 4524-nucleotide long non-coding RNA is filed under the name Salmo salar (Atlantic salmon). Its description in RNAcentral is "lncRNA (ENSSSAG00000094329.1)". Lineage: Eukaryota; Metazoa; Chordata; Actinopteri; Salmoniformes; Salmonidae. The record is from RNAcentral.
ACCCUAGGCCUGCCUGCUAGCCCUAACAGGUUAAGAGCCAAUACAUUUGUUUGUGGUGUCUUUCCAAUAGGUGAUAUAUAUUUAGCUUUUUGCUUUGUGAUGAUUUGGUUGGGCCAGAUUUUCUGACUGCUGUCCUGAGUGUUGGUUUGGGUUAGUGAACUGAGCCUCAGAACCAGCUGGCUGAGUGCUGUCCUGAGGCUCUAUGGGGUUGGUUUGGGUUAGUGAACUGAGCCUCAGAACCAGCUGGCUGAGUGCUGUCCUGAGUCUCUAUGGGAUUGGUUUGGGUUAGUGAACUGAGCCUCAGAACCAGCUGGCUGAGUGCUGUCCUGAGGCUAUAUGGGGUUGGUUUGGGUUAGUGAACUGAGCCUCAGAACCAGCUGGCUGAGUGCUGUCCUGAGGCUCUAUGGGGUUGGUUUGGGUUAGUGAACUGAGCCUCAGAACCAGCUGGCUGAGUGCUGUCCUGAGUGUUGGUUUGGGUUAGUGAACUGAGCCUCAGAACCAGCUGGCUGAGGGGACUCUUCUCUGGUUUCAUCUCUUGACGUUGUAGAGCUGUGUGAUGGAAUGUUUUUUGGGUCAUUUGUUUUUAGAUGGUUGUAAAAUUUGAUGGCUCUUUUUUUCUAUUCGAAUGAGGAGGGGGGUAUCGGCCCAAUUCUGCUCUACAUGUGUUAUUUGGAGUUUUUCUUUGCACUUGCAAUACAGUCUGGCAAAACUCUGCAUGCAGUAUUUCAAUUGGAUGUUUGUCCCAUUUGGUAAAUUCAUUGUUAGACAGUGGACUCCAUACUUCACUGCCAUAUAGAGAAAUUGGUUCUAUAACUGAUUGGAACAUUUUCAGACAAAUUGUAAUUAUAAAUUUGAUUUAAUGUUCCUUUUAAUGGCAUAGAAUGCUCUUCUUGCGUUGUCUCUCAGCUCAUUCACAGCCAUCUGAAAGCUUCCUGUGUUGCUGAUAUUUAGUCCUAGAUAUGUGUAGUUUUUGGGUGUGUUCUAAUAGAACUGUGUCCAAAUAGAAUUUAUAUUGGUCAUCCUGACUUCCGAACCUUUUUUUGAAUAUCAUUAUAUUUGUUUUCUUUAGAUUAACGGUCAGAGCCCAGGUCUAACCUGUGAUUAACGGUCAGAGCCCAGGUCUAACAGAACCUGUGGUUAAUGGUCAGAGCCCAGGUCUGACAGAACCUGUGGUUAACAGUCAGAGCCCAGGUCUAACAGAACCUGUGAUUAACGGUCAGAGCCCAGGUCUGACAGAACUAGUGCAGAUGAUCUAGGUGCUGCUGUAAACCCUCCUUAGUGGGAGACAGUAGCACCAGGUCAUCUGUCUACAGCAGACCCUCCUUAGUGGGAGACAGCAGCACCAGGUCAUCUGUCUACAGCAGACCCUCCUUAGUGGGAGACAGCAGCACCAGGUCAUCUGUCUACAGCAGACCCUCCUUAGUGGGAGACAGCAGCACCAGUUCAUCUGUCUACAGCAGACCCUCCUUAGUGGGAGACAGCAGCACCAGUUCAUCUGUCUACAGCAGACCCUCCUUAGUGGGAGACAGCAGCACCAGGUCCUCUGUCUACAGCAGCCCCUCCUUAGUGGGAGACAGCAGCACCAGGUCAUCUGUCUACAGCAGACCCUCCUUAGUGGGAGACAGCAGCACCAGGUCAUCUGUCUACAGCAGACCCUCCUAGUGGGAGACAGCAGCACCAGUUCAUCUGUCUACAGCAGACCCUCCUUAGUGGGAGACAGCAUCACCAGGUCAUCUGUCUACAGCAGACCCUCCUUAGUGGGAGACAGCAUCACCAGGUCAUCUGUCUACAGCAGACCCUCCUUAGUGGGAGACAGCAGCACCAGGUCAUCUGUCUACAGCAGACCCUCCUUAGUGGGAGACAGCAGCACCAGGUCAUCUGUCUACAGCACACCCUCCUUAGUGGGAGACAGCAUCACCAGGUCAUCUGUCUACAGCAGACCCUCCUUAGUGGGAGACAGCAGCACCAGGUCAUCUGUCUACAGCAGACCCUCCUUAGUGGGAGACAGCAGCACCAGGUCAUCUGUCUACAGCAGACCCUCCUUAGUGGGAGACAGCAGCACCAGGUCAUCUGUCUACAGCAGACCCUCCUUAGUGGGAGACAGCAGCACCAGGUCAUCUGUCUACAGUAGACCCUCCUUAGUGGGAGACAGCAGCACCAGGUCCUCUGUCUACAGCAGACCCUCCUUAGUGGGAGACAGCAGCACCAGGUCAUCUGUCUACAGCAGACCCUCCUUAGUGGGAGACAGCAGCAACAGGUCAUCUGUCUACAGCAGACAUUUGAUUUCAGUGUUGUGUAGGGUGAGACCAGGCGCUGCAGAUUCUUCUACUGUUUUGGCCAAUUCAUUAAUGUCGAUGUUAAAUGGUGUUGGACUUAUUGGACAGCCCUGUUUCACUCCACGUCCCUGAGAGAAGAAGUCUGUUUGCUUGUUGUUAAUUCAUUAAUGUAGACGUUAAAUAGUGUUGGACUUAUUGGACAGCCCUGUUUCACUCCACGUCCCUGAGAGAAGAAGUCUGUUUGCUUGUUGUUAAUUCAUUAAUGUAGACGUUAAAUAGUGUUGGACUUAUUGGACAGCCCUGUUUCACUCCACGUCCCUGAGAGAAGAAGUCUGUUUGCUUGUUGCCAAUUUUUAACCGCACAUUUGUUUUUAGUGUACAUUGAUUUAAUAACGUCUUCAUGUUUUCCCUCCAAUACCACUUUCUAUUAGUCUAUAGAAAAAAACUUUGUGCCAAAUUGAAUCAAAAGCUUUCUUGAAGUCUACAAAACACGAGAAGAUUUUGCCUUUUGUUUUGGUUUACUUUUUUGUAAAUUAGAGUGUGGAGGGUGUAAAUGUGGUCUGUUGUACGAUCAAAAAAAAAUUGAAUCUGGCUUCUGCUCAGGAUGUUUUUUAUUUUUUAUUUAUUUAACCUUUAUUUAACCAUCAAUGAAAUUAUGUAGUCUGCAAUUUAUGGUACUGCACAGAAUUUUCCCCAAGUUGCUGUUAAAGCAAAUUCCUCUGUAAUUAUUUUGGGUCAAAUUUGACUCCAUUUUUAUAGAUUGGUGUGAUCAAUCCCUGGUUCCAAAUAUCGGGGAAAAUACCUGCAGUGAGGAUAAUGUUGAGUAUAUUUGAUCAUUUCAAAUAGCACCACAGGCCUUUUUGGGUUGAAGAGUGCAUAGUUUUUCCAAUAAUUCUUCUUCUGUAAUUGGGGUAUCCACAGGAUUCUGACAGUCUUUGACUGCUGAUUCAAGGAUUUGUAAUUGUUCUUGUAUAUCUUUUUGUUCUGGGCUCUUUGUUAUAUUGCUGUAGAGGUUUGCAAAGUGAUUUCUCCACAUAUCCCCAUGUUGGAUAGCCAAUUCCUCAUGAUGAGGUUUGUUUAAUUUAUUCCAAUUCUCCCAGAAGUGGUUUGAUUCUCUGGAUUCCUCAAUUACAUCCAGCUGUUUUCUAAUGUGCUGUUCCUUUUUUGUUCUUAGGGUGUGUUUGUAUUGCUUCAGUGUUUCCCCAUAUUGAAGGCGUAUAUUUUUGUUGUCUGGUUCUCUGUGUUUUUAAUUAGAUAUAUUUCUCAAUGACUUCCUUAGAUUUCUCCAAUCAUUGUCAAACCAUUUGUCAUUAUCUAUUCUUUAUGGUUUGUUCUUAUGCGUCUUUAGAUUAGCCAAGGAUAAUUUGUAAAAUAUAAAGUUUAUGUUGCAAACGACCAAAUUUACACCUUCAUUGCUGUAGGAGAAUGUUAAGGCUAAAAAGUUGGCUUGGGCCUGAAAGUGACUCAUCUCCCCCUCUAGAAUGGAGAAACUCUCUUCAUUGAAGCAGGGUGACUCUGAGGGGGGAAUGUAUGUGGCACAGAGGAAGACGUUUUUAUCUGUUAAGAUUGCCUCUUUGUUGAUUUUUAACCAGAUAAAGAAUUCUCCUGUGUUGAUCAAUUCGAUUGAAUGAGUUAGUUCAGAUUUAUACCAUAUUAGCAUUCCCCCUGAGUCUCUGCCCUGUCCUGAGUCUCUGCCCUGUCCUGAGUCUCUGCCCUGUCCUGAGUCUCUGCCCUGUCCUGAGUCUCUGCCCUGAGUCUCUGCCCUGUCCUGAGUCUCUGCCCUGUCCUGAGUCUCUGCCCUGUCCUGAGUCUCUGCCCUGUCCUGAGUCUCUGCCCUGUCUUGAGUCUCUGCCCUGCCCUGACUCUCUGCCCUGAGUCUCUGCCCUGUCUUGAGUCUCUGCCCUGUCCUGAGUCUCUGCCCUGUGUGAUUCCUUUUAAUUAGGUGUUUAUCAUUUAAGAUAGCAUUUGUGUUAUGCCACUUGGGUGGAUGUAGUGUGAGGAGGGUGGAGUUGUUGUGCUCAUCUUAAUAUGACCCUCGGCCUAUCACAUGUGAGCAUCCAUGACCCUCGGCCUAUCACAUGUGAGCAUCCAUGACCCUCGGCCUAUCACAUGUGAGCAUAGUAGACUUAGCAUGUGUUUAAUGUCACUCAUUUGGUUGAUGGGGGCUGGGCCAGUCGCCUCCUUUCACAGACUGUGCAUAGUUCUGCCUGCUGGGCUGUGACUCCUCCAGGUGUGGGUCUGCAGUGGG